AAACAUCGCCUCUUGAGGCUGUAACAUAAGAGGUCCUGCCUGCCAUGUGACUAUAAGUUUAACGGCCGCGGUAUUUUGACCGUGCGAAGGUAGCGCAAUCACUUGUCUUUUAAAUGGAGACCUGUAUGAAUGGCACGACGAGGGCUGAACUGUCUCCUAUCUCUAACCAGUGAAAUUGAUCUCCCCGUGCAGAAGCGGGGAUACCAGCAUAAGACGAGAAGACCCCAUGGAGCUUAAGACACUAGGUAGCCCAUUUUAAGUAACUCAUUUUAAUUGGGGAUGAGUUUAUGGUAAACUCUCCUACUUGUUUUCGGUUGGGGCGACCACGGGGGAGAAUAUAGCCCCCAUGUGGAUAGGGAGUAUAACUUUUACAAUUGAGAUUAACAGGUCUAGAUUACAGAAAUUUUGACCAAAGUGAUCCGGCUAUU
RNAcentral lists this ribosomal RNA (428 nucleotides) under Argyropelecus sladeni (Sladen's hatchetfish). RNAcentral's name for it is "partial 16S ribosomal RNA". It matches the Rfam family "Bacterial large subunit ribosomal RNA", at positions 1811 to 2428 of the family's 2925-position model. Lineage: Eukaryota; Metazoa; Chordata; Actinopteri; Stomiiformes; Sternoptychidae. The record is from RNAcentral.